RNAcentral lists this transfer RNA (80 nucleotides) under Candidatus Pacearchaeota archaeon. RNAcentral's name for it is "tRNA-Ser". It matches the Rfam family "tRNA". Rfam says of the family: Transfer RNA (tRNA) molecules are approximately 80 nucleotides in length. Their secondary structure includes four short double-helical elements and three loops (D, anti-codon, and T loops). The record is from RNAcentral. Lineage: Archaea; Nanobdellati.
GCCGCCAUCGCUCAGUGGUAGAGCAACGGAUUGCUAAUCCGUGCCGUUUCGGUUCCUGGGUUCGAUUCCCAGUGGCGGCG